Molecule: ribosomal RNA, 500 nt
Filed under: uncultured bacterium
Lineage: Bacteria
Description: partial 16S ribosomal RNA
Rfam family: Bacterial small subunit ribosomal RNA
Source: RNAcentral
ACUCAAAGGAAUUGACGGGGGCCCGCACAAGCGGUGGAGUAUGUGGUUUAAUUCGAUGCAACGCGCAGAACCUUACCUGGCCUUGACAUGUCUGGAAUCCUUGAGAGAUCAGGGAGUGCCUUCGGGAACCAGAACACAGGUGCUGCAUGGCUGUCGUCAGCUCGUGUCGUGAGAUGUUGGGUUAAGUCCCGCAACGAGCGCAACCCUUGUCCUUAGUUGCCAGCGAGUAAAGUCGGGAACUCUAAGGAGACCGCCGGUGACAAACCGGAGGAAGGUGGGGAUGACGUCAAGUCCUCAUGGCCCUUACGGCCAGGGCUACACACGUACUACAAUGGUCGGUACAGAGGGUUGCCAAGCCGCGAGGUGGAGCCAAUCCCAGAAAACCGAUCUCAGUCCGGAUCGGAGUCUGCAACUCGACUCCGUGAAGUCGGAAUCGCUAGUAAUCGCGGAUCAGCAAUGCCGCGGUGAAUACGUUCCCGGGCCUUGCACACACCGCCCGU